GAUGAACGCUGGCGGCGUGCCUAAUACAUGCAAGUCGAGCGAACAGACGAGGAGCUUGCUCCUCUGACGUUAGCGGCGGACGGGUGAGUAACACGUGGAUAACCUACCUAUAAGACUGGGAUAACUUCGGGAAACCGGAGCUAAUACCGGAUAAUAUAUUGAACCGCAUGGUUCAAUAGUGAAAGACGGUUUUGCCGUCACUUAUAGAUGGAUCCGCGCCGCAUUAGCUAGUUGGUAAGGUAACAGCUUACCAAGGCUACGAUGCGUAGCCGACCUGAGAGGGUGAUCGGCCACACUGGAACUGAGACACGGUCCAGACUCCUACGGGAGGCAGCAGUAGGGAAUCUUCCGCAAUGGGCGAAAGCCUGACGGAGCAACGCCGCGUGAGUGAUGAAGGUCUUCGGAUCGUAAAACUCUGUUAUUAGGGAAGAACAAAUGUGUAAGUAACUAUGCACGUCUUGACGGUACCUAAUCAGAAAGCCACGGCUAACUACGUG
RNAcentral lists this ribosomal RNA (497 nucleotides) under uncultured bacterium. Its description in RNAcentral is "partial 16S ribosomal RNA". It matches the Rfam family "Bacterial small subunit ribosomal RNA", at positions 28 to 507 of the family's 1533-position model. The record is from RNAcentral.